Molecule: ribosomal RNA, 251 nt
Filed under: uncultured bacterium
Lineage: Bacteria
Description: partial 16S ribosomal RNA
Rfam family: Bacterial small subunit ribosomal RNA
Source: RNAcentral
UACGAAGGGGCUAGCGUUGUUCGGAAUUACUGGCGUAAAGCGCGCGCAGGCGGCUAUCCAAGUCAGUGGUGAAAGCCCGGAGCUCGAACUCCGGAACUGCUAUUGAAACUGUUAGCUUGAGGAUGAGAGAGGUGAGUGGAAUUCCAGUGUAGAGGUGAAAUUCGUAGAUAUUGGGAAGAACACCGGUGGCGAAGGCGGCUCACUGGCUCGAUUACUGACGCUCAGGCGCGAUAGCGUGGGGAUCAAGCAGG